CCUGGCUCAGAUUGAACGCUGGCGGCAUGCCUAACACAUGCAAGUCGAACGGCAGCACGGCAGUAGCAAUACUGUGGGUGGCGAGUGGCGGACGGGUGAGGAAUACGUCGGAAUCUGCCCAGUCGUGGGGGAUAACUAGCCGAAAGGUUAGCUAAUACCGCAUACGACCGAGAGGUGAAAGCGGGGGACCGCAAGGCCUCGCGCGAUUGGAUGAGCCGACGUCGGAUUAGCUAGUUGGUGGGGUAAAGGCCCACCAAGGCGACGAUCCGUAGCUGGUCUGAGAGGAUGAUCAGCCACACUGGAACUGAGACACGGUCCAGACUCCUACGGGAGGCAGCAGUGGGGAAUAUUGGACAAUGGGCGCAAGCCUGAUCCAGCAAUGCCGCGUGUGUGAAGAAGGCCUUCGGGUUGUAAAGUACUUUUAUCAGGAACGAAAAGCGUUGGAUUAAUACUCUGACGUGCUGACGGUACCUGAGGAAUAAGCACCGGCUAACUUCGUA
Molecule: ribosomal RNA, 500 nt
Filed under: uncultured bacterium
Lineage: Bacteria
Description: bacterial SSU rRNA
Rfam family: Bacterial small subunit ribosomal RNA
Source: RNAcentral